This is a long non-coding RNA of Ooceraea biroi (clonal raider ant), 895 nucleotides long. RefSeq lists it as uncharacterized. NCBI's taxonomy places the organism in Eukaryota, Metazoa, Arthropoda, Insecta, Hymenoptera, Formicidae. The record is from RefSeq and is a predicted model, not a curated record.
CUGAUUCCGAUAAAUCAUUAAAUUGCACUGAUAAGUGACGCUUGAAGUUCGAUGAUAUAUUGCCGCGAGUCUAAGAAAAAUUAUCGGCCGCCUGAAACAAUAAGCAACGAAACGGUGAAUGUUGACUGAGAGAGAGGAAUACGUGUUUAUUCGGCCAAAGGAAGCAGCGCACUAAGUUCUCAGACGGACGGGAUAGUUUACCAAGUUAGGCGAACGAUCGUACGCGGCAGCGUGAGCGUCCACGUAGUCCACGCUCAAUCAUCGUCGACACUCGGAGCACCAACAGGGGAGUGUAAAUGUACAAUGAUAUUUACAUUAGUGGUUAUUGAGCAUAAAAGGCGAUACAUAAACGCGAUACCGCACGGUGACUAAAACACUCGAUCUUAUCAAGAGCGAUAAAAAAAACCUUGCAGAGAUACGCCCGGCGUAUACAUUGAGCCCAGAUAUCACUCAGUAGAAUUCACUUCGCGAUUGAGCGAGUUAAUCAAUUCAGGAAACGGCGGAAACAACCGCAGAAACACUUACGUUUCUUCUCGCGAAAGAAUUAAUCGAGGAGAGACGAUGAGCGGAAUCAUGCAAGCAAGAGUUCCUUCCUUUUCUUUUCUAUACGCAAUAUUUUUAUAUUUACAAAUAAUUCUAUUUUUUAUAUUACGCGUAUCUGUUACCUUUAUAUACAAAAAGGAUAUAGUUUUUUUUUUAAAUUAUAGUCAAUCAUGGUCAUAGAAAAAGUUUCAUUGCACAUAGGUGUACGGAGAGAGAAUCCGAAGGCGUUUCGAGGUUUGAUUACAAACGCUUGCGGGGGUACGUUGAGCUCUGUAACUGAAGCAAUUUUACAAAUUAUGAUGUAGUAGUAUUUUUCAUGUUAUUAAAACAAGGAGAUUAUUGUAUAACAAUA